Molecule: long non-coding RNA, 252 nt
Organism: Lingula anatina
Lineage: Eukaryota; Metazoa; Brachiopoda; Lingulata; Lingulida; Lingulidae
Source: RefSeq, a predicted model, not a curated record
UUUUGGUGGUAUUUGUUGGACUUGGCACUAUCGUGCCCACACUUGGUCAUCAUUUAGAGAAUGUAGAUCCAUUUAUGCGAAGUAACUAUAUAAUGAUCGGCCUGGCGCUAGCUCUAUAUGGGGUCUUGUACACGUGCUCAGUACCAUUGUUUGGCUAUAUAACGGACAAAUACAAUCGUAGAAAGGUGAUAAUUAUCUCCGGACUCCUCAUAAUGGCCUUAUCCUUUACCCUCAUUGGACCCUGGGCGCCCC